UUCUGAGUCCUGCCCUGCACCUGCAACACCUCCGCUUUCACCUCCUCCAGCUGAGUCAGACAUCUCUCUUUGUUUAUCAAGCUCUCCUGUCAAGCGUUCAAGUGCCUUGCGUCCGCCGGGUGGCUGUCAGACGUGGGUGAGUUCAUCCAGUUCCACAGCUGCAGGGAUUUCCGGGGGCUGAGAUGUAAUCCAGCCACGUCCACCAUGACUCAACCCAGUUCUCCGUCUCUGACGUCAGGGCAGGAGGGCAGGUCUUCUUGUCCCGCUGGUUAGAAGACCUCUACGCAACCUCCCCAAGAGUUUCAGGCCGAGGCCGGUCUGGUUCUUCACACCCUCAUCCCACAUGCCCAUACUGCCUGAAGACCCUCCACUACCACCCUUUCCCUCCAUACCGCCUGGCCCACCCCACAUGCCAACGCCAUCCACCCACUGCCCUCCCAUGGAGGAGCUGCCCAUCGACAUACCAGGGUGCUGCAAACAGAAAAAUAAAUCAGGUUGGCUGAGCUGUGACUCACAGUCCCGGCGGGCCCCCGGUUGGGCUGCGGGCGCUGCGUUGGUGGUAGCUGUCUCACCAGCAGGGGCGGCGGGGAGGGCCCUGGGGCGAAGGGAACACGGCCCCACAUCUUGAUGACGUCCCCCAGGGGUUGGAAGCCCUCAUCACAGCCCCGCUUCACCAGCAGGGUCAUGGUGAAGUAGCCAGCCUGGAACCACUCGCACAUCUCCACAGUUGUAAAAGGGCCUGGUUUGUGGGUACAUCACAAACAGGUUUACAAUGCAGAAACUGAGCUUACGUAGCAGACUUCCUCACUUUGUUUAAUUUAGUUUAGCUGUAUUCCAACAAAGCUCUGUAAUAUGUAUACGUGAACGAAUAAAAUUCCACUGUGUUCAAGUGUA
Long non-coding RNA from Amphiprion ocellaris (clown anemonefish), 894 nucleotides. RefSeq lists it as uncharacterized. The record is from RefSeq and is a predicted model, not a curated record. NCBI's taxonomy places the organism in Eukaryota, Metazoa, Chordata, Actinopteri, Pomacentridae. The transcript is spliced from 4 exons.